CCUACGGGUGGCAGCAGUCGAGAAUCAUUCACAAUGGGGGCAACCCUGAUGGUGCGACGCCGCGUGGGGGAAUGCAGGUCUUUGGAUUGUAAACCCCUGUCAUGUGGGAGCAAAUUAAAAAGAUAGUACCACAAGAGGAAGAGACGGCUAACUCUGUGCCAGCAGCCGCGGUAAUACAGAGGUCUCAAGCGUUGUUCGGAAUCACUGGGCGUAAAGCGUGCGUAGGCUGUUUCGUAAGUCGUGUGUGAAAGGCGCGGGCUCAACCCGCGGACGGCAGAUGAUACUGCGAGACUAGAGUAAUGGAGGGGGAACCGGAAUUCUCGGUGUAGCAGUGAAAUGCGUAGAUAUCGAGAGGAACACUCGUGGCGAAGGCGGGUUCCUGGACAUUAACUGACGCUGAGGCACGAAGGCCAGGGGAGCGAAAAGGAUUAGAUACCCGUGUAGUC
RNAcentral lists this ribosomal RNA (446 nucleotides) under uncultured bacterium. RNAcentral describes it as "partial 16S ribosomal RNA". It matches the Rfam family "Bacterial small subunit ribosomal RNA", at positions 338 to 795 of the family's 1533-position model. The record is from RNAcentral.